GAUCCUGGCUCAGGACGAACGCUGGCGGCGUGCCUAACACAUGCAAGUCGAACGGAGAUAAGCGCGGAUUUGAAGGAAGCUUGCUUUUGGAUUAUCUUGCUUAUCUUAGUGGCGGACGGGCGAGUAACGCGUGAGUAACCUGCCCUUCAGUGGGGAACAACAGUUGGAAACGGCUGCUAAUACCGCAUAAUGUGCCACCGGGGCAUCCCGGAGGUACCAAAGGAGCAAUUCGCUGAAGGAUGG
This 243-nucleotide ribosomal RNA is filed under the name uncultured bacterium. RNAcentral's name for it is "partial 16S ribosomal RNA". It matches the Rfam family "Bacterial small subunit ribosomal RNA", at positions 15 to 228 of the family's 1533-position model. The record is from RNAcentral.